AGAGGGAUGGCUGGGUCAAAUGGUGGUUUCAUUCCCAAUUUUCCAAGAAAUCUCCAUACUGCUUUCCAUAUUGGCUAUACCAGUUUGCGGUCCCACCAGCAAU
Molecule: microRNA precursor, 103 nt
Filed under: Marmota monax (woodchuck)
Lineage: Eukaryota; Metazoa; Chordata; Mammalia; Rodentia; Sciuridae
Source: RNAcentral